Long non-coding RNA from Diachasma alloeum, 1501 nucleotides. RefSeq lists it as uncharacterized. The record is from RefSeq and is a predicted model, not a curated record. The transcript is spliced from 2 exons. Lineage: Eukaryota; Metazoa; Arthropoda; Insecta; Hymenoptera; Braconidae.
GGUUUACAAUUAUUUGGAAGCAACUACGACGCCGUACUUUGUAGUUAACAAAUUGUAUUAACAGCUGAUAGUAUUGUAAAUAAAAUCAGUCGAGCCACUGUCGAUCACGUUGCUUAGCUAGAGGAUCAAUUGAAAAGGGAACUCUUUAAUCCACUUCCGAACGCGAGAGAGUCGUCAAAUAGCCGUCAAAAUGGUUCACACAAACGUCAACGGUUCCCUCAAGGGUCCUUACCAGGAAGUCAAGAAAGACAAGCUCACAGUGAAUAAUCAGAAAUCUUCCAGUCAAGUGAAAACAACUAGCAAGGACGACAAGUACGGUGCCUGGGGACCGGUCUACAAGUCUAAGCAGAAUUUCAUCGAUAUGCACUUCUCUUGAAAAUCAAUAAUCCAAUCGAUCGGUGCUAAUAAUCACGACUACGCUAUGCCCAGAAUGAUACAGUAACUGAGUGAUAAAACGUGAAUCAUAAAAAUUCAAUUUUCCAAAUUGUCUCAAGAAUGAGUGAUUCAAGUGAAAAUCUCAAGUGAAUUUUUAAAGAAAAGAAUAUUCCAUUCUACGAAGAAAGGUCUCUUGAUAUUUUUACCAAAUCGCCUAUUCCCAGUCGAAUAAUCAACCGAAUUACAGUUAAUGACGCAAUUUUGCAAUUGUGAUGAGUAUUUUUACGAAAAAAAAACAUUUUUCUUUCAAAUCACUGGCAAAAUAAUUGUUACCGAGAUGAUUCCCACUAACGUUUUAUCACUUUACUGGACAAUUCAACAAUGUUUAAUUCAUAUGGAAAAAAACGCCAGUUAAUUAACACGAUUUUACUCAAAAAUUCAAUUCCUUUGCACUAAUAAUGACUGAGCAGCUCGCGACUCAUUAUUUCUUGCAACACUUCAUCAUUUUUGGUAUGUACUUUGGAAGUGUACAAAAUUGCGGUUGUAGAAGAGAAAAGUCCUAGUCAAAUACAAGUUUCCGCCGAGAAAAUCAGCAUAAAAAAAUUCUCGUUCAUCAGAAAAGACGGCUUUUACCUUAAAUUAUUGUAAAAAUGUUUUUCCCCACUCAAUUGGAUCCAAUUAUUUUCAUUAUACGUUUAUUGUUCAUUUAAUCAAUUAAAUGCAACAUCACUAGGCAGUUGAAUAGAAUUAUUCUCUUUUAUUAAUAACGAUGAUGGAUAAACCUUCAGUUUGAAUUCGUCAAAUUGUGCAAGGAAAAAUGGGCUCAUCAACGUGAGGACAGUGGCUCGACGAUUCUAAUCAUUAUUUUUUAUAUUAUGAUGUAAUUCCUUGAAUUUUUAUAUUACUUCUCUCGCUCUAAUUCACAUUUAAUGGAUAUCGUCGGGCCCUUAUGAUUAUUAAAAAUAUUAUGCUCUCAUAUGCGCUUUCUUGGGAUAGUGUCCAACAUUUCAAUCGACAUUUUGAUUGUUUUUUUCUUCGCUAAUAACUUUUGCGCUUUUUUUGUUGAGAUGAAGGGAGAAAUAAAGGUGAUGGUUUUUGUGGACUAAUACACACGCGAUCGAAGAUU